This 543-nucleotide ribosomal RNA is filed under the name uncultured bacterium. RNAcentral describes it as "bacterial SSU rRNA". It matches the Rfam family "Bacterial small subunit ribosomal RNA", at positions 777 to 1322 of the family's 1533-position model. The record is from RNAcentral.
AAUAGAUACCCCGGUAGUCCAUGCCGUAAACGUUGGGAACUAGAUGUGGGGACCAUUCCACGGUCUCCGUGUCGCAGCUAACGCAUUAAGUUCCCCGCCUGGGGAGUACGGCCGCAAGGCUAAAACUCAAAGGAAUUGACGGGGGCCCGCACAAGCGGCGGAGCAUGCGGAUUAAUUCGAUGCAACGCGAAGAACCUUACCAAGGCUUGACAUAUACCGGAAAGGUCUGGAAACAGUCCCCCCGCAAGGUCGGUAUACAGGUGGUGCAUGGUUGUCGUCAGCUCGUGUCGUGAGAUGUUGGGUUAAGUCCCGCAACGAGCGCAACCCUCGUCUUAUGUUGCCAGCGGUUCGGCCGGGGACUCAUAGGAGACUGCCGGGGCCAACUCGGAGGAAGGUGGGGAUGAGGUCAAAUCAUCAUGCCCCUUAUGUCUUGGGCUUCACGCAUGCUACAAUGGCCGGUACAAAGGGCUGCAAUACCGCGAGGUGGAGCGAAUCCCAAAAAGCCGGUCUCAGUUCGGAUUGAGGUCUGCAACUCGACCCAUG